AGCAAAUACUAUCGUCAAACUGCUAUAGUUUUUCGGCAAGGAAGCUGUGGAAAGAUGGAGAUGGAAGUAAGAGCAGUAAGAGGACUGGAAGGAUGCUACGUUUCACUACCACUUCAUCUCAUUCAAACUCUUCAAUCCACUUCUUCUUCUGCUUCUCUGUUUUCAUUUCUAGCUCUUGAGCUUCGUUCAAUUGCCAACAAUGAUGACGUCUGGUACGUUGCUUGGUCUGGCUCUGCAUCCUCUAGCUCUUCCGCCAUUGAGAUUGCUCAGCAAUUUGCAGAAUGCAUUCAUCUGCCAGACAAUACAACUGUUCAAGUACGGGCCAUUCCUAAUCUUCCAAAAGCCACUCUAGUGAUGAUGGAACCCGACACCGAGGAUGAUUGGGAAGUUCUAGAGCUAAAUGCAGAGCAUGCAGAGGCAGCCAUUUUGAAGCAGGUUGGAAUUGUCCAUGAAGCCAUGAGAUUUCCUUUGUGGUUGCAUGGGCAUACAAUCAUUACAUUUUCGGUGGUCUCAACCUUCCCCAAGAAACCAAUGGUGCAACUUGUGCCAGGGACUGAAGUUGCUGUUGCUCCCAAGAGACGCAGAAGGCCUAUUGUUUCAUCUGAAAGCUCCUCUAAAGAGAACCCGGUUGUAAAGGCUCUACUGCGUAUCCAAGAUGGAGACAGUAGAUUUUUUCACAAAUAUGGGGUCAAUGACACUGAGAUGGGGGUGGUUCUCACUUCUGCUGUCUUUAUUCAUCCAGAAACAGCUAAAAAUGUUUCACUGCAUUCUCUUCAACCUGUAAUUUUAGAGCAAAGAUUGGUUAAGAAGGACAGGAAACUGAAUCAUGAAACGAAUAGCUCCUCCAAGAAUGGCAAUUCAACUGUGAACGAAGUUGAUCAGGUGCCAACUGACAAGCAGGAAAUCAGACAGGCUGUUGUUCGUCUUCUAAUAUCAGAUUCUGUGGCUAAAGGACACAUCAUGCUUUCUAAAUCUUUACGCUAUUAUCUGAGAGCAGGCCUGCAUUCUUGGAUACAUGUCAAGAGUUGCAGUGUUAUUUUACAACAAGAUGCUCCUUCGUUUGUUCUUUCUCCUUGUCAAUUUAAGAUGGCUGGGAAGGUCCCUGAAAAUGGCAAUUUUGAAUAUCUUCAUGGCCAAAAGGAAAAUCACACAGACAAUUUAUCUCUCAAGACAAACUCAGACACCCAUUAUGACUUGACUGACUGGUCAUUCCAUGAGAGAAUUAUUGCAGUCCUUUCGGAUGAAUCAUCAGAUCAUCAUGAUGAAGGAACUUCUGUUAGCUCAAGUAGUAGAAAGGGGUUAUCUGUUCUUCUUCGUGCAUGGGUUUUGGCACAACUCAAAGCCAUUACAACUUUUUCUAGAACAGAGCUAAAUUCAAUUGUUUUGGGAAGUAAGACGUUGCUUCACUUUGAGGUGAAAGGCGUUGAGUUAGCAGACCAUGCCAAACUGCAUGCGUCACGUAACGAAUCUUUCAAAAUAAGAAAGAGAGUCGGAGAAUCAGUAGUUGAUAUCCUGUAUGUUCUGUCCGUUCCUGAGGAUUCUAUGCAAGGUGGAGUAGCUUAUGAGCUUGAUUUUUCUGAAGGAAACAGGACGAGCAUGAGUCAGAGCAGCUUAGAGUUCUUUCUUGAAAACUUGUGUCUUGGUGAAGGUUUACCUCUUUAUUAUGUUAAAGAAAGAAUAUCUGCCAAGAGCUGUAACAUGGAGAUUGAUUCUUUGAGCUGGAUGGGCACAACGGCUGCAGAUGUAACUAAUAGGUUGAUGGUGUUAUUGUCGCCUUCCUCUGGCAUGUUCUUGAGUACUUAUAAUCUUCCUUUCCCUGGACAUGUGUUGAUUUAUGGACCUCCGGGUUCUGGGAAGACAUUAUUAGCCACGACUGUUGCAAAAACUAUUGAAGAACAUGAAGAUGUCUUGGCACACAUAGUUUAUGUAUGCUGUUCCAGACUUGCUUCGAGUAAGUCCCCAACUAUCCAUCAAACUCUCUCUAGGUACAUAUCUGAAGCAUUGGAUCAUACUCCUUCCCUCGUGGUCCUUGACGAUCUUGAUAGCAUUAUAGCUUCACCUAAUAACUCAGAAGACUACCACUCUUCACCUUCUUCUACAAUGCUGAUGGGAUUUCUCACAGACAUCUUGGAUGAAUGUGAGGAGAAAAGGAAGAACUCAUGUGGAAUUGGUCCCAUUGCAUUCAUAGCUUGUGUGCAGACCCUAACUAGCAUUCCGCAGACCUUGAGCUCCUCUGGAAGGUUUGACUUUCAUGUGCAACUGGCUGCUCCUGCAGCUGCUGAACGUGGCGCUUUACUGAAACAUGAGAUUCAUAAACGUUCUUUGUUAUGUUCUGAUGAGAUUUUGUUAGAUAUAGCUUCCUCAUGUGAUGGAUAUGAUGCAUAUGAUCUGGAAAUACUGGUUGAUAGGUCCGUUCAUGCUGCCAUUGGCCGCUUUGUGUCCCAUGGCUUGGCUUUUGGGAACAACAAAAAGCCUACUUUGGUUAAGGAUGAUUUUCUACAAGCAAUAAAAGGGUUUCUGCCAAUUGCUAUGCGAGAUAUUACUAAAUCUGCUUCUGAGGAAGGCCAUGGAGGCUGGCAGGAUGUUGGUGGUCUAACUGAAAUUCAGAACUCUAUCAAAGAGAUGAUUGAAUUGCCUUCGAAGUUUCCGAUGAUCUUUUCACAAGCUCCUUUACGGAUGAGGUCUAAUGUUCUCUUAUAUGGCCCUCCUGGGUGUGGUAAAACACAUAUUGUUGGCGCUGCUGCUGCUGCAUGUUCACUACGAUUCAUCUCCGUGAAAGGGCCUGAGCUGCUGAAUAAAUACAUCGGUGCUUCUGAGCAAGCAGUACGUGAUAUAUUCUCGAAAGCAGCUGCUGCAGCACCAUGCCUUCUCUUUUUUGAUGAAUUUGACUCCAUUGCUCCGAAAAGAGGUCAUGACAAUACUGGUGUGACCGAUCGAGUUGUUAAUCAAUUCCUAACGGAGUUAGACGGUGUUGAAGUGUUAACUGGGGUAUUUGUUUUUGCUGCCACAAGUCGGCCUGAUUUACUUGAUGCUGCCCUGCUGCGACCUGGUAGAUUAGACCGCCUACUUUUCUGUGAUUUUCCAUCACCACAAGAGAGAUUAGAUAUUCUUAGAGUUCUUUCUCGAAAGUUACCCUUGGCCAAUGAUGUCAAGUUGGAAGCUAUAGCUGGAAAGACGGAAGGAUUUAGUGGAGCAGACCUCCAAGCUCUCUUAUCAGAUGCACAGCUUGCAGCUGUUCACGAUCUUCUGAACAGCAAAGAUGCUGAUAGGCCUGGAAAUAUGAUGCCGGUCAUCACCAAUGCCCUCUUGCAGACGGUUGCUGCCAAUGCAAGACCGUCAGUUUCAGAAGCUGAAAAACACAGAUUAUACAGCAUUUAUGGCCAGUUCUUGGACGCUAAAAGAUCUGCUGCUGCACAGUCGAGAGAUGCGAAAGGGAAAAGAGCAACUCUUGCAUAACUGAUCGUGGAUUACGUUUGCAAUACCAGGACUCAUGGGGCUGGUCGGCCACCCACCGACUUGAUAUGCAUAUAGGUGAGCAUGGCAUGGACCAAGAACUUUACCUGGUAAAUGAGGUUGGUGACUUUUACCCGGUUAAUGUUUACAUGGUCAUUGCCGCUUACUAAUAAUCUUACUAUGUCAUUUUCAUAGUCAAGAAUCCUAUCUGGCUAGGGUGGUCGUUUACUAAACACUUACCAGCAAGAGUCACCUACCUUAUCGGGUAACAUUCUUGGCCACUGAAAUGAAUCAUUGUAAGCGUCCCCAGUAAUCGUUUACUGGGUAAGAAGACUCAUUCAUCAGGUAAGAUUCUUGGUCCCUAUGCUCACUCAGUAAGGUAAGCAUCAGGUGAUAAACGCUUACUGAUAAGUGUUUGAUAAACAAUUUCUUAGUUUAAGUUGGCCCAAUACCGUCAUCUUUGUAAUAGAUAAAAGGGGGUUAUUAGUUCAAAAUGAAAACUACAAUGAUUGGGUUCUUAUUGUCUGGGACCUAAUAUCAAAAUUACGUUUUAGAAAACAUACACAUUAUAAUAUACUAGAAGGGUACUCGCACAAUGCAGCGAGAUAAAUCUC
Cynara cardunculus var. scolymus (artichoke) is the source of this 4067-nucleotide RNA transcript. It is a transcript of the gene named peroxisome biogenesis protein 1, with no coding region annotated. The record is from RefSeq and is a predicted model, not a curated record. Lineage: Eukaryota; Viridiplantae; Streptophyta; Magnoliopsida; Asterales; Asteraceae. The transcript has 18 exons.